Molecule: ribosomal RNA, 153 nt
Filed under: uncultured fungus
Lineage: Eukaryota; Fungi
Description: partial 5.8S ribosomal RNA
Rfam family: 5.8S ribosomal RNA
About the family: 5.8S ribosomal RNA (5.8S rRNA) is a component of the large subunit of the eukaryotic ribosome. It is transcribed by RNA polymerase I as part of the 45S precursor that also contains 18S and 28S rRNA.
Source: RNAcentral
CACUUUCACAACGGAUCUCUUGGCUCUCGCAUCGAUGAAGAACGCAGCGAAAUGCGAUAAGUAAUGUGAAUUGCAGAAUUCAGUGAAUCAUCGAAUCUUUGAACGCACCUUGCGCUCUUUGGUAUUCCGAAGAGCAUGCCUGUUUGAGUGUCA